Long non-coding RNA from Bombyx mori (domestic silkworm), 1518 nucleotides. RefSeq lists it as uncharacterized. NCBI's taxonomy places the organism in Eukaryota, Metazoa, Arthropoda, Insecta, Lepidoptera, Bombycidae. The record is from RefSeq and is a predicted model, not a curated record. The transcript is spliced from 2 exons.
UAAGAAUCCGAAAUUCGAAUCCGAAAAAAUAUAAAUAAUCUAUGUAGUUUGGUUUUGAAUUUUUGAUUUUGAUGAUUAAAGAUUUCCCGCAUUAAGUUCUUCAAAUUGUACAAUAAUAUUAUUAGUGAGCCUAAAACUCUUUUAAAACAACAACUUGGUUUAACGAAGCUGAAAAAAUUACUCAAACAAGUAUACAUAUUCUUCAACUAAGUAAUACCAUUUCCUAAACUGUUCUAAAUCACAAGCAUUAUUUAUUUUGGUCUUCCAUGUAGCUUGUUACCAAGCACAGUCAAUGCUUUAUCUAUCAUCGGAUCAAUUAAUCUUAUAUUGAUAUUUUUUUCAUAUAAAUUUCGAUCUCUCAAAUCUAAAUCUAUAAUUAAUCUGCAUCGCAAUUUUGGCGCCAUGAAUCGAGAUACGAGACGCAUUCACUAACGACGCUAAGAAUAUACAUAGAGUGGUCAGCUCUGAUGAACGGUAUGAGAACUUAAUCCUGAGGACCCAUGAUAUUGCAUUCUGUGACAGAUAUUUUUUUGCCAAAUGGUAUGGUUAUGAACCGCUAUUCCCUAAAUAUGAGGCACACUAACCUGAGUGCCACAAGAUAUCAAGAUUUUCUACCAACAAUAUUAGGAUAAUAGAAAAAGUUGAUUUUUACUUUAUUUUUGAUGAAGCAUCAAUCGAAAUAGCAUCAAAUUUUUUUCAUGAUCUCUGUUGAUUUAAAUACAAGCAUAGUGUGCAUGGAUGGUUUGCCGAAUCAAAUUCUGGCACCCCAGCCACAUUUGUAUUUCAAAUCUAAGCAAUGUUCUAAAUCCAUCACCAACAGAGGAAUGUAUGAUUAAUAUAAAAAUUUAUAAAGCUAGAUAGGAUUUGCUUAAAUGGGUUUUCUCAAAGUUCAACAUAUGUAUAAAUACUUUGUAAGAUAAUUGUAUCUACAGAUUGUGUAAUCUGUGCAUUAGAAGAUUUGAAAGAUGGUACAAGAUAUAUAACAUCAAAAUGAAUAUAUACAUCAUUUAUUCAUUAUCUACCAAGUUUAGGACUUAGUUAUUUGAAACUUGUCAUUGAGUUGAAAUCAAUUAAACGUUAUAUUUUUAUGUCUCUGCAAAAUCUAAAAAUAAUCUGCUUGUUGCUCGACAUUUUAUGUGAAGAUUAAUAUGUUAAAAAAUUAAGAAGUUAUGAGGAUUAUCUCAAUGUCACGAUAAACAGUGAACAUAAUGUUAAUGUUUAGCCAAUAUUCACACGUAUACUAAAGCUUGGAUUUACUGGGAAGGACUGAACUUCCCCUCUCAAUCAUGAAAACAAACUUUAAAGUAAUUUCUCUCUCUACUCUCAUCUUCUCUAUGAUUCAUAUUAGAGCUUUAUUCAAAUAUUUAAAUUAUUUCUUGAAGCCAUAUAUUGCAAUUACUUCUGUUCUUCACUAACCAGUUUUAAUAAGCUUUAAAUUAGGUAAAUCUCUUAGUUUUGAAGAUAAUUUUGAUUUUGUAAAUAAAUGCUAAAUAUGUUAAUCAAAUGAUUACCUCACUA